UUUUUUUAACUGAUAUCGUUAAUGCUGUCCACUUUUAAGUCCACGUGAAGUUGUCGGGCUGUAAAAAAAGCCAUAAAAACCCAAGACAAAGUCAAAACACAGAGGAGACCUAGAUGCCUAAGGUCCAAGGAGCUCAGAAAUCAGAGCGCUCAAAGCCGACUUCCUGCCAAAAACGAACCGACCUGGGUUAUAUGAAGGGCUUAGAAAUCAAAGCGCUCAAAGGCCUGUGCCAGAGAAGCCUUCCGCCUCCUCCCCGUGGCACCAUUCAACGUCCCCAAGUAUCCAUAGGUGACACGACCAUUGGAGAUUGCUUCAU
RNAcentral lists this long non-coding RNA (316 nucleotides) under Malus domestica (apple). RNAcentral describes it as "long non-coding RNA (MDOM_LNC002404)". Lineage: Eukaryota; Viridiplantae; Streptophyta; Magnoliopsida; Rosales; Rosaceae. The record is from RNAcentral.